GUUUGGGGGUAGGGCUCGUACCGGCUGCGCGGCGGCGGCCCCGGCGGGCGCUCGAGGAGGCUAGGCGGGGGCGGCCGCCUCGGGCCGCUCGGCGAGAGGGAGAGGGCGCCGAUGGAGAGCGAGGCGGUCCGCCCGGGGCGGUCGCUCCUCCUGCGGAGGGGGCGCGGCCGCGGGCCGCUGUCCACGUCCCGCUACUACCUCCACCACUCCUUCCUAUUGCCCCGCCCGCCCCUCCUGCCGUUCACCUUCCACAGGUUCGACCACCACCUCGUGUUGGUGCCCGACCUUCGCCGCCGAUGCCCACUCCGACGGGGGAGGCGCCGGCGCCGGCGCGGCCGCGAGCCCUACCUCAAGCUGAGGCAGGUCCUGCGGUUCCCGAAGAUGAUGCCGAUGCCGCUCUCCCGGCCCAAGUUCCGCGCGUGGCCGAGGUUGGCGGCGAGCCGGCCGUGCCCCCCGUACUAGUACGUCGCCAAGGAGACGACGUCUCCGUUAAUGAGCAUAUCCUUCCCAUUAUUUCGAUUCCUAAGCCUACGGCGGUUCCUCCACCUCCUCCCGCGACGCCCCCUUCCCCGUCCCCUUCCCCUUCCCUUCCAACCCCGGGGAUUCUUCUCCCCGGCGUUCGGGCCCUUCUUCUCGCGCGGCCACUAGCUCCACCCCUCGAGCCACCUCUUCCCACGACGUUAUCGUCCGCGUCUCUUACCCGUUCGUCACGGAUCAUUCCUCUUAAACCCCUCUCCACCCCUAUUCUUCCUACAACGCCUCUUCCUACAGCUCAGACAGCAGGUUGAACUCCUUCUUGUACAACUCGACCUCCUACAACGUGUCCUACCACGGGUACUGGAGCCACGGCCGCUGCUACGAUUAAGACUACGACUACUCCCACUUUACCUUUUCCUCCACCUCCAGUUCCUUUUCUCUCCCUCUCCCUCCGGCUCUUUCCGACAGUGUCUCCCGUUACGGGACGUCCGUACACACAGCUGCCUGGAACCACACUGCCGCAGCGUCACGCGACAACUACUCUCUUUCUUCUAUGAAUUAUUCAUAGAGAGCUUCUCUGUCUCGUCUGGACGGAGCCCGUCUGGGCGGUUCUAAUAGAGUGCGGUUCGAAACCGCCUUUCCGCAUUCUCUCCACUACCUCCAUCUAAAGACCGUUCGCUGCCUGGCGACGGCAAUCUUUCCGCUAGCUUUGCAGAACUCUUCGUUUUAGAAGUUUUACUUUUCUUCGGACUCUCAUUUCUUCUACUUUAUCAACUUCGCCUUGUCCUAGGUCUUUGACUUCAUCAUCGACCCGGACCUCCUCUCGGUUUUCAACCAUACCAAAAGGACUUACUUCUGUUCCGAAUGCUCAAAAUACAGUCGAUACGACCUUGACGUCCUAAGUUACAGGCUUUUCCUACGAGACUCUUUUGUCGUUUAUUACAAUGCUUUAGAGCCCGAAUACAUACAAGAUUUCUCCCUAAGGCGGGAUUUUCAAAAUGACGGCUCGGUUUCUUUGUUGCUCGUCUUUGUUCUUGACCGACACUUCGUGUGUACUGACAAUUUUAGUGAUGAUCGCCGUUUAUACAUCACUGUCUCACACACCGACUAGUAUUAGUACUAGAACUUCGAGGACACCACCUGUAAGUCUAAGACUCUAGUGUCUUCAAUAAUCGUUUCAAUGUCGUCGGAGGUCUAGGUGGUUUUCAACAAAACUAUGGUUUACUGAUAUUUUUAAUACAAUCCUGUUCCGUGUGCUGCCUAUACGUUAACCCGCUACGAGCCCGUUAAAGACUUAUAAAUGUCUCCUACUUUCCGCUCUUAGGAAGUAAGAAGACAAGGUAAGUUCACCUACUUCUGCUGGUUAAGUCUUUACAUAAGACCCGUCUACAAUUUAGUCACUACCUGAAAUUGAUGAAGCCACUACAUCAUACACAACUGUGUUCCAUAUCGUAUUCACUAAUAACAUCCGGAGACAACAACAAGUAACCUCAAUUGGUAGUAUUCGUCGGUUGGUAUAAACCAUGUCGUAAAUAAAUACUACUUAGUCAGCUUAGGAAGUUCACCAACAAACUUUGAAAGUUCAGACGAUACUCACCUUUCGUCGGUUCUUGUCAAAACUGACUAGCGAGAUGUCGUUAUUCGCUACGUCAACGAAGACGAACCGGUCCCUGACGAGUAGCGAAGAGUGACAACGUAAACAUAGUUUUACGGUGGUUCCAUGAUUCGCUAUGUAAGGUUCCCAGCCUUUGAAAACGGGUACUAAAAUCAGCCAGAAACAUACUGAUACUCCUCCUCCCCCUGAAAAACAGAUCGACCCUUUAGGAGAACCGCUUCAUGUUAGACUUUCUGUUGUUCACCGAUUCAUUUAACAUACUCCUAUCUCUUUCUACCCGAAACGGAAUACCCGCACUAUAUAAGACACGUCUAUAACGUCGGUGUGAGGCUUCACUAUUGUACCUACGGUAGGACUGUCCACAAGAGUUUUGUCUUUAUCUAGAAGGUAUGAAGAAAUUGUCUAUACUAUUUAAAAAUCUCCUCUUUGCAGAUCGACUUGUUCUUCGACUGAUGGAACCUCAAGUUUACUGUGUCUCCCAUGGUGGAGACGCCAAUGAAACCGUUCGACGAUUAUGUAUAUGAGGACGUGACAAACUCGACAAGUCCAAUCUUAAACUUGACCAGAACCGGACGUACCAAAUAACGACACCACUUUAACCUGGUUAUAGGCUCAUACUCCAUUGACAGUUUUUGUCUGGAGUUCAAGUAAAACAAUCUAAACUGAGUAGUCUUAUAUACCAGGAAACAUCGACGUUCUUCAAACUUAAACAUCCGGAAGGUACGACGGUACGUGACUUUCAAGAACUCUAUUUUUUAUAAUUUCUUGAAGGUGGUGUUAUAUAAAACUUUUCUACCGCUUUCCUACGAGUCUCACUUAGAGGUUUCCUCUUGAAGCCAAAACGACGACACCUACUUCUAGGGUUCAAGUGCUACAGAUUUGCCGUGUUAAGCGACAUAGCUUGAAAUAUAUUUCACCGUCGUUUCCGACGUCUUUUGUAACUUCCAGUCUCUAAAUACCUCUCGGUUAUACUAGUCGAGGACCUCGUUCAACUCGAAGAAAACGUUCGUUUCAACGUACUGUUCGGAAGGAAUUCGUGAUAGUACUCUUCAGUUGUCGGUUUAAACGGAGUCUUACUAUGGUCGUUGUCACUUGGAGCGUCUCGUUCAUCAUUUUUUUUAUUUUUACACCUCUUAGCAGCGGUCGUCGUUUCAGGAGAACUUAGUUCAUUUUUCUUUUUUCCAUCUGUUCCAGAUCACCUCGGACUCCUCCGACUUGACGGUGAAUCCCAAGAACGAGGGUGUUAUAGCUUACUGUAGGGUUUAGUGUACUCAUGAGGUUGGUUAGUCAAGGAACGAGGUUCAGUAGACUACGUCCGUGGUAUACAAUGUGUCGUCAAACCAGAAUUAAGAGAAGUUCCUAAAAGACCUUACAGCGGUAAACCCGUCUACGUCCUUGUUAGUGUACAAGUAGAAGUCGUUGGAGUAGAUGUUGUUGGUGGGAAAGUACCUCCAGGAGUUCUCGUGGUUCACUAAGAUGUAAAUACGUAAUGAGAUACCAACCAAUAUGGACACAACAGGAAGGGUUCCCUAAAAUGAGGUGAGUAAAGAAGUUGUCAACGAUCCCGGGGGGAGGUCUACAGGUCAGUAACGUCAAAGAAUCGUCGUUAAGAGUCAACCCGGUGGUCUGGUGGCUAGUUCCGGUCAUGAGGUAGCGGCAUACCCUAAAGGACACUACAUCGUACACAAAUACGGUCUUAUAUC
RNAcentral lists this ribosomal RNA (3795 nucleotides) under Triticum aestivum (bread wheat). RNAcentral's name for it is "partial small subunit ribosomal RNA". The record is from RNAcentral. Lineage: Eukaryota; Viridiplantae; Streptophyta; Magnoliopsida; Poales; Poaceae.